CAUAAACUACUGCAGUAGCUCUUGAUGUUUUUCGUACACCUUCACCAGUGCUGAAGGCCACUCCUUGCUCAUCAUACUUCAAGGGCUCAGUAGAUACUUUUUGCAACUGCACAGCAAUUUCUUUGGAAAACUUUUUGAUAUAAUUCUCCUCGAUGUCACUGCAUGGCAACGUCAUCAGUUUUUCUAAGAGUCGAAUAAACCUUGAGUAAUCAUCAUCUGACAGUUUUUCUAACAACAUUCCUUCCAAUUCCGUCUUAGUCAGCCAUCUGCUGCCAACCAGGUUUUUUUUCUCCUUCUGCAGAGAAAAGCCCUGAGCAACCAGUUGGUCUUGAUGUUUCUGAACGUUUAGUAGUUUUUCAUAUGUUUCAUGCAUUAAUGAGUAAUACGACUGCUUGCCAGUGUAAAAGAGAAAGUGAAAUGGACGGCCAUCUUCUCCCCACUGGAUUUCUUCAUCAUUGGCCUGGCUCGCUUGUCGAAUAAGCCCGAAGGAAAGAGAUAGGCAAUAGCUCUAUCAAUAUCCUCUUGGGUAAAAGUUUCUGGAUCUUCUCCCAUCAUGUUGGCUAAAUGUCUCUUUCCUAGGUCGAACUCUUCAAUUUGUUUCUUAAUAAAUGCCUCCGUGUAUUUUUCAGGUCCGGAGGCUGCUACAUUUUUCCUCCAUGCAGCUGUGGUAGUAUAGAUUAGCCUCAAUGUCUGAGCGCUAGGCCCACCCGACGCCGCCGCGCUCCACCGGCCGCCCAGCCGCAGCACGCGCCCCGCUGCCACCACCGCCAUGCCCACCGCCGGGGGACGGGACGGCCCGGCUCGGCGCAACCCGCAGUAGGCCCCAGAGCCGCCGAUUGGCGGGAAGGAUGAGGCGGGGCUGCGCCUGCGCGCUGCUUCGCGCCGUGAGCGGGUGGUACUGAAGGAGCAGUGAGAGAUGGAUGGGAGAAGGGGGCUUAGGGUGUGUAGUAAUAGUUGUUGUUGGGGGUGUGCUGUUGUACGAGUGAGGCCCCUUAGUGUGCUCAGCCCAGAGCUGAGCUCUGCCCUCUGUGACAGCGACAGGGCCCGAGGGAACGGCAUGGAGCUGUCAGGGGAGGGGCAGCUGGGGGUUAGGAAGUGGUUUAUGGUGCGUAUCAAUGCCCUUGGAGGUUGUGACUGGGUCAGUGGCAGGCAGUGGGUGCACGUGUUCCAUGAGGUGGACGCGGCUGCAAUCAGACUCCUGGUGGAGCAGGCAGUGC
RNAcentral lists this long non-coding RNA (1217 nucleotides) under Gallus gallus (chicken). Lineage: Eukaryota; Metazoa; Chordata; Aves; Galliformes; Phasianidae. The record is from RNAcentral.